Long non-coding RNA from Mustela erminea (ermine), 476 nucleotides. RefSeq lists it as uncharacterized. NCBI's taxonomy places the organism in Eukaryota, Metazoa, Chordata, Mammalia, Carnivora, Mustelidae. The transcript has 3 exons. The record is from RefSeq and is a predicted model, not a curated record.
GCCUGGAUGAACCCCAGGAAAACAUCACAGAAAGCAGAGGAAGCCUAUCUCUGAGAGCCUAUCUCCACACCUCCUUAUGCUUCUGUCUUACCCCUGCUCUAGAUCUCCUGUAAGAAGUUCAUUGUGAUGGUGUGAGUUCCUUGGGCCUCCCUCCUUGGGUCUCCUACAGGAGCUAUAGACAGAGGUUCCUGUCCAUGGGAGUGAGUUCUAUUGACAUAACUCCUAUGGAAAGCAAAGGUGCCAGAGAGAGUGAUUGCUGUAUUCCUAAUAAAACAAUUUUGAAUUCUGGACUUCUGCUGACUUUCAAAAUGACAAAGUAUCACUCUGGAAUUAUCCUGGAAGAUGUUGACCUUCAUAACCAUUGUCUUCUUUGCACGCACAUCUCUUUCUCUUUCUGGAAUACCCAUUUUAACACUUGGACCUUAAGCAAACUGAAGAUCUAAAAAUCAAUUGUUGUUUUUUAAGGUAAAACACAG